GUUUCUUUGCUAAGACAGCAUAAUCCAGCACUGAAAUACAGAAAAGCGUGGGGUGAUCAGGAAUGCACAAAUUGCUUCUAACUCAUGCCCCCUUUCUAGGUUACCUGCUCAUUAAUAAUCUCCUUUAUGAAGUGGACAGAGUGAUGAAAUGCCAGUGUUGAUGUGGGAAACUGGCAGGGAGAAGAAACACUGUCAUAUUGCACUAAGGAAAAGGAGUGGUUUCUCUAGAUGGAUUUUAAUAGCUACUAUUGUCUCGCACUAUCUUUUCCACUUUACCAAAAUUUGAGAAGUAUGGCUGGAGAAAAUUAGAGAAUUUAUUUCAUUUAUCUACACAAUUUAAGGUUUUGAAAGAAUAUUUAACUACAUAGCUAAAACAAUAAAUGUAUUUCCCUUGCAGCUCUUUUUGAUUUUCUGGAUAUUGCCUCUGCCUCAGCUGCUGUCUCAUUCUGGAGCUUCCCUUCAGCACCUCAGGCCUCCUCGCCCUACAACAUCUCUUUGUCGAGUUGGCCCCCUCGUUGUCUACUAUCAAGUUCCCCUCAUAGCCUCCACUUAGGGGAGGGAACCCAGCUGGCCAACCUUCAUUUAACUUUACAGACUUUGACCUCAUCAUGCCCCUAAAAGGGUUCCUACCCCAACUCUUCAACUCCCUUUUAUGGGUUGUCACCCCUAUUUGACUGUAAGCUCUUUGAGGGCAGGGGACAUGUCUUUUUUUUGUACCAGAGGAAGUGCUUAAGAAAUGUUUACUGAAUUGAACUUUUCCUGUUAUUUGUAUCCCUUCUCUAGCACUGAGUAGAACACUGGGGACAUAUUAAGUAUUUAAUAAAUGCUUUGAGCCUUGUCACCCAAGCUCAGGCUUUCCCGAAAACACAAAAGCUCCAAAAGAAGCAAACAAUACUUUUCUCCUUACACAUUAAUAUGCUAGUUUGAUUAACAAGCAGGUGAGAUAAAGGACUCUCAAAAUUAUUUAAAUAACCAACCCCCCAAACCAAAACUAACAACACCCCCCACCCCCAAACAGAAUAAGUUCUUUCAUCUUCAUUAUCUCUUUAACCUGGAACAACCUGGCAUUUGGAACAUCCACAUAUACCAUUUUACUGCAAAGGGAAUCUGAAUGAUCAUGGCCACAGGGCUUUUUCCUCCUUUCAUGACAUUUCUCUGACCAAAAGCCUCUUAUGAUUUCCUAUUUCUUAAAACACUUCACCUGCUCUGCUGCUUAAUCCCAUGGCUCCUCACUCUCUGAGACACCAGCUGCAUGUUCUCUCCCCAAGCCAUGCUGCUCCUUUCCAUUUAUGACAUGACUUGGUCAAAGUGACCUGCCUACCACUUUUUGCUCUCCUGCCAAGGUGCUUUUAUUGACCCCUGGAAUGUGGCCCCUCACAAAACCUCCACUCCAUCUGUAGCUCAAACACCACUUCCUCUACAAGCAUUUCCAUCCUUCUGAUACAACAAACUCAAGACUCCAGAUAGCAUUUUGAAUCAGUAAGGGGAACAGUAGAGUGAGGUAAGAGGAACCAGGAUUAUCAGAGGGUUUCUGAGAGACUGUGGCAUGGGGGAAAGGAGAAGCACCAAGAACUGGAAAAUCAGGAAGGGACUUCUGAAGAAGAUGGCAGGAGAGUUGAGUCUUAUAGGCAGGGAAGGGACUACCAUGAGACUGAGAACAGGAUGAAGAGCAUUCCAGAAAAGGGGAAUGGCCCAUGAAAAGGGGGAAUUAGAAGGUUGUGUAUGGGACUGUAAAUGGGCUAGUUUGGCUGAAAUGCAGUGGAUUAAAGUGUAAAAAGGAUAGGCUGAAAUUUGGAUUUUAUCCUGGAAGCACUAAAGCCUCAUUAGCAGAUGAGUAACAUGGUCAGACACAUAGUGCGUGGCUAAAAGAAUCUAGGCCAGUGAUGGGAAACGUAUGGCAUGGGUGCUAAAGAUGGCAUGCAGAGCCCUCUUUGUGGACAUAUGUCCUACCCCCCCUCCCCCAGUUUGCUACUAGAUAGGCAGAAGGACUUGGGCAGAGCUGUGUCCCUCCCCCUCUACACCCUCCCCGACAUUGUUCCACAACACUUGCCCCUCAGCAGCCCAAUGGGAGCACUUUCUCCCUCUGCUGUGUGGGAUAAAGAGGGGGAACAGCACACAGUCAGGGAUGGGGUGGGGCCCAGUGGCACUCUGUCUCUAAAAGGUUUGCCAUCACUGAUCUAGGCUGUCUCUGGUUUGAGCAGGCAAAGAGAAAUAAUUUUGUAAUCUCUUUCCCAAAGAAAAUGCUUAUCUGGCAUUAAAAAAAACACAAAACUGUAUGGUUAUCGUCUCAUGUGUUUGUCUCUUCAGUGAAAUGGUAAGAUCCAUCUCGCAGAGCAAUGAGGCAGUACAGUGUGUGCUCAGUAAUCUAAGCCCUAGCAUGGAAAGCACUAGAGUAAGAUUCUAAUGUAUAAGACCAAUGAUAAAUUUCCCUUUUCUAGAAGACAAUUAUAGUCUUAAAAAUUUAUGACAAUAUCCAUUUCAAUAAUCGUAUUAGGACAGCUGACUAAAACAUUUAGAAGUAUACCCAUGUAUUAAUGUAUUCAAAUCAAGUAUUUUCUAAUUUAAAACUAGUAAUCUAUUCUUGGAAGUUAGUAAAGAACACUUCAAUUAACUAUUUAUGAAUAGUUGCCAAAAAAACUCAACUAGGGUCAUGAAGAGUCAGAUAUGACUGAAUGACAUCUAGGAAUAGAUCACAGCAAUAGGCUCCCAUUAAAAUUUUCUCAAAUACUACACUAAAGUAAUUUGUGAUUUAAAAAUUACAAGUAUGUUGACAUGCAUUGAAUGAAUUUUCAAAUUUAUACAUAUAUAUGCAAUGUAUUUUGGAGACUAUUAUUUCUAUUCUUUAAUGUUAUGUUCUUUGAUUCUAUCUCUUUUUAUUUACUAGGAAAAAACAAAGACCACCAGAAAUCUCUGGUGGGAUGUAAUCUUCACAGCUGAUAAAGGAAAGCUUUUAAGUGCUCACCUGUAUUUAAUAUUUAAUAAUAUAGUGUCUUGUAGUACCUAUCUUUUUAUGUGUUCAUCUUUUUCAUGGAUAUGUUUUUUUCUUUUAAAAGACAAUUUUGAACUUAAGAGUUUAAAUGAUAAAAUCUAUGGAUUUCUUGAAACAACAAAAUCUAAAAUAAACAAUUAUAUUUACCCUGACUCUUACCUUAUGAUCUACCCCACGGAGGCAAUAUUAGUAUUUAUUUUGGCCAUGCAGAGGUGAGUUUACAUUUUCCCUUCUCUUUUUUUUGUGGGUUUCAUUUGAGGGAACUACAGCAGAGCUAUCAGGAAUCUCAGAGGCCAUCUAGUUUAACUCAUACUUGACCAAGAAUCCUUUUAACAAUACUCUUAUAAGUGGUCAUUCAGCCUUCUCUCUAAGCCCUUUAAUGAGAGGCAAUCCAUUAUUACCUGAGGCAUUCUAUUCCACUUUUGGUUGAUUUAGAAUAGUUAAGGAGUCAAAAUUUAAAAAAAGUUUAACUCUACCUUUCUGCAGAUUCUAUAUACUGCUAUUUACAGUGGCUCUUUCCUAUUCUAAAAUUUCCUAGUUCCUCUUGACAAAUUUACAUACAACCUGUUUAUCACAUUCCCUGGGCAUUUUGUUCUGGACACCUUUCAGUUUAUCAACAACCUUUUAAAAAUACUGUGCCCAGAAUGGAACUAACGUGGUCAGGGCAGAGAAAAUCAUAACUAUCAUCUCACAGAUUACUUGGUUACUAUUCCUCACUUAAAGCAGCCUAAACUCAAAAUAGCUUUUUUGGGGUCGCUAUAUUAACUUAUCAGAGCAUUUAAUAGGUGAUCAGUAGAACUUGGAUCCAAUAUUCAAUAAAACCACCCAAUCCGUAUCUUACAAACUCUUAUAAAGCUAUGUCUCCCUCCCUCAUCUUGUAAUUAGAUUGCUUUUUUGGACCCCAAGUCCAAGGUUGUACACAAUUAUUCCUACUUAGUAUCACUUUUUUAAAAUGCUUUUUCUGUCUCUCUACAUUUGGUACAAUGUUCUAAUCUAUUGAGAUUUUUGGAUUUUGCCAAUCUAUUACCCGCAUCUCUUGGCUGUGUGUUAAGUGUGAAUCUGAUACCAUUUCACCUUUCAAGAAAGUCACUAUUAAAAUAUUAAAUAGCACAAAA
Molecule: non-coding RNA, 4104 nt
Organism: Monodelphis domestica (gray short-tailed opossum)
Lineage: Eukaryota; Metazoa; Chordata; Mammalia; Didelphimorphia; Didelphidae
Source: RefSeq, a predicted model, not a curated record